CAAAUUUAUUAUUAUUGGAAUUACAUAGUGGGAUUUGUUGCCUGAAUUGUAGCACUCAUCUAUUUUCCCCAACAGGGUUUUCUCAUCAACAGAGUAUAGCUGCAGAGAACGGAGUCAUACAGCGCCCAAUGUCUUAGCCAUACUGCUAAAACUGGGUUGAGAUGACUUCUGGAGUGAUCAGAAAAUUUUCCAGUCCAUAAACUUGCCUAUUGGAGGGGAAGGAAAAGAAGGGCCCUGCAUUCUAAGAUUUCAUAUUGGUAGGGAUGAUACUGGCUUUUUAUUUGCCAGUUCUACAUAAACAGCUAUCAGAUUAUUAUAAAUUUAAGAGUCAAUCCUGGAGUGACGUGAGUAGCAGAAUGCCAAGUCUAUGAGUCGCUUGAUAACUACUGGACAUGCACAUGAGAAUAUGAUGAGGAUGGUGCCUUAGAGUGGGGAUUCUCAAUCUGAGGUAACAAUGGGAACAAUUACCAUAUAACUAUUCAAGUGUUU
This 489-nucleotide long non-coding RNA is filed under the name Pan troglodytes (chimpanzee). RNAcentral describes it as "long non-coding RNA NONPTRT011108". The record is from RNAcentral. Lineage: Eukaryota; Metazoa; Chordata; Mammalia; Primates; Hominidae.